Molecule: ribosomal RNA, 292 nt
Filed under: uncultured Bacteroidota bacterium
Lineage: Bacteria; Pseudomonadati; Bacteroidota
Description: uncultured Bacteroidetes bacterium partial 16S ribosomal RNA
Source: RNAcentral
GGACUACCGGGGUAUCUAAUCCUGUUUGAUCCCCACGCUUUCGUGCCUCAGCGUCAGUUACAGUUUAGUGAGCUGCCUUCGCAAUCGGUGUUCUAUGUCAUCUCUAAGUAUUUCACCACUACAUGACAUAUUCCGCCCACUUCAAAUGUACUCAAGAUCAUCAGUAUCAAUGGCAAUUUUACAGUUAAGCUGCAAGAUUUCACCACUGACUUAAUAAUCCGCCUACGCACCCUUUAAACCCAAUAAAUCCGGAUAACGCUUGGAUCCUUCGUAUUACCGCGGCUGCUGGCAC